Molecule: long non-coding RNA, 1083 nt
Organism: Diachasma alloeum
Lineage: Eukaryota; Metazoa; Arthropoda; Insecta; Hymenoptera; Braconidae
Exons: 2
Source: RefSeq, a predicted model, not a curated record
CAGCUGAGGAGGGGAGGGAAAGACUGCUGGAAAUGUGUUGAGUUUAACGUUUUUAAAAAUCGGUGAAUAUUUAUUCGGUGAUAGAUUAAAUACGAGUAAAAUCGGCCAUUUUAGCAUCCACUGGCAACGAGUUAAUCGAGGUUGUAGACGCAUUCGAGAGGGGAUAGUGCAUAUAAAUGACGCGGGGAGAGGAGAUACCGACUGUUUAAGGAGGGGUAUUAGGAGGGAAACACGAGAGAGACUGCAAUACGCGGGCUAUUAUUAGUGCAUCGAGGAUGUGUCUCGUUCUCUUUUUACCGAGCCCUGGGCGCAACCGAGUCGCGGUCAACGAUUAUUGGGUGGGAAUAGACGGUAUUUUAUUUAGUACAGUCCGAUCGUCCAGGGGAUUUUAAUCCACCCGAGGGCUCAACAAUAACUCGCGAAAUCGUUGAAAUGUUGGCGAUUUUCAUUCGCGUUUUUUAAUGUAGCGAUAUGUCGAGCUGUUGCGAUAUUGUUUUUGAGAAAUCGCGGGUAAUUAUUCCAACGAAAACAAUAAAUACAAGCGCUGUUGUCAGUACGCGGCGAUCAGCUGACUCCGCGGUUGGUCGUCUCAAUGGAACAGCUGAUCGCGUUUCUUUGACAUUGCACAGGGCCAGUGAAAAAUUGAGUGAUCACGACGGUUUUAACGGUAGAUAGCGCAUUGUGAAGUUGAAAUAAUAUUUGAACAUUUUAGUUUGAUUCAGGAUGAAUUGAGGACGAGGUUAUACCGUGGGAGUGUACUGCCGGAAGCUAAAUUACACUGUCAUUUGAGAGUGAGAGGGAUUGAAUGGAGAGAAAUAAUGUUAUAGGAAAUGUUGGGGCAGUUGGGGCUCGUGCCAGAUGCGCGUUUACACGGGCCCUGAAUACUGUAAAUGCACUAUCUGGUUUAAGGAUGUAUCUGUAAGGCGUUAAAUAGGUUGACAUUGUUCCCCUCGCACAUGGAGGAAGAUUCUAGUCUUCGGCUUGAUGAUCAGUCGACAGGAUGAACAGCUGGGAAUGCAGUCGCUGUUGGCAAUGGAACGUUCUACUGUGAUUAUGUAAUAAUAAUAAAGCUCAUGUGAUCAA